UUCGAUUAUGAUUCGACGUGAAAGGUACUCAUCACUGGGUUUGGUUUUGGGGAGACACAAAUGGGUGUUUACAGUCGCGUGUAUCUGAAAAGGAACCAAAAGCUCCAGCCAAGAUUAUUGAUGAUGCUGAAGAUAGAAGACUCAAAAGGAACAACCUUACUGACUGUUGUGGUACCAAGGGUACUAUAAAGAAGGACAAGGAAGCAAUGCGCUUAAGUCAAAAGGUGGAUUCUGAUGCCAUGCCAGAGAUAAGCCAUGAGCCAUAAGCCAUAUCUAAGAGGUAACUCCUUUAGACAAGACAGCAAUUGCAAGUUCCAGUUUGGACACUUGCUACAAUGUUCCCCCACAUGAUCUCUCUGCUACGGCACCAGAGAAGGCUUAUCUGCUUGAUAAAAUUAUUCUCAAAGGAGAAUGAAAUUACUUGACAGACAUUUUGGAGCUGUUGCAACCUAGGUAGGAGAUAAAACUAGAUGUUUUUCCAGGUUUCGUGUGCAAUCGAUGUUACAAAGUGGAAUUAAAAAGGAUUAAGCAUUGAAAAGGUUUGCUGGCAUCUUGUCAUAUAUUUCUCAACUCAUAAACUUCAAGAAUCGGUAUUCUGCUGGUGGCAGCGGCAAUCUUCCAAGAAUCAAAAGUAUCUCUCAAGAAUCCUGUUACCGAUGUUCAACAAAAUGUUUGUCGAUUCAGAUAAAAACAGGAUCGCGAUUCGCGGAUGACAAAAUAGGCUCGUUCAUCAGCUAUGUGCUGGUUCUCACCUUAUUGGUCAUGAGCUUCAGACUGGUUAUACUGAUAUUGCCAAGGAUCUGAAGAUGUCUGCUUUGAGUCAGACCUUAUUUCGAGAAUUUGGGCUGUAAGUUUGCAAGAAGAAAUACAGUGAUCGUUGCUAUCCUUCCUAUUCCUUUCAAGUUCUCAACACCGAGGAAGAGGAGAAUAGGGUAGAUGUAAAUAUUGCUUCUGCUAGACUGCUAUGAAUGAAAGAUAAAAGUUAUUGACUUGUUGCAAUGUUGAAAAUUGUAGGAUUGUACUGAUUAUCAAAAUUAUGAUGACUUUUAUUGAUUUUAUAUUUCUGAUUAAGUGUAUAGAUAUACAUAAUCAAACAUUUUAUGUGUUAAAUUUUAUUGUUUUACUGAUUUGAAAUGGAAAAAGGAGCUUUACUUUGUUU
This is a long non-coding RNA of Chenopodium quinoa (quinoa), 1159 nucleotides long. RefSeq lists it as uncharacterized. NCBI's taxonomy places the organism in Eukaryota, Viridiplantae, Streptophyta, Magnoliopsida, Caryophyllales, Amaranthaceae. The record is from RefSeq and is a predicted model, not a curated record. The transcript is spliced from 3 exons.